RNAcentral lists this ribosomal RNA (479 nucleotides) under uncultured bacterium. Its description in RNAcentral is "bacterial SSU rRNA". It matches the Rfam family "Bacterial small subunit ribosomal RNA", at positions 28 to 507 of the family's 1533-position model. The record is from RNAcentral.
GAUGAACGCUAGCGGAAGGCUUAACACAUGCAAGUCGAGGGGUAAAGAGUAGCAAUACUUUGAGACCGGCGGACGGGUGCGUAACGCGUAUGCAACUUACCUUAAGCAGGGGGAUAGGUCCCGGAAACGGGAAUUAAAACCGCAUGACACAUUAGAUUCGCAUGGGUUUAAUGUAAAAGUUGAGGUGGCUUAAGAUGGGCAUGCGUCUGAUUAGCUGGUUGGUAGGGUAACGGCCUACCAAGGCGACGAUCAGUAGGGGUUCUGAGAGGAUACACCCCCACACUGGUACUGAGACACGGACCAGACUCCUACGGGAGGCAGCAGUGAGGAAUAUUGGUCAAUGGGCGGAAGCCUGAACCAGCCAUUCCGCGUGAAGGAAGAAGGCCUUACGGUUGUAAACUUCUUUUCUGUAAGAAGAAUAACCGGGACGAGUUUCCGGGAUGACGGUAUUAUAGGAAUAAGCAUCGGCUAACUCCGUG